AAUACAUGCAGUCGAGCGAGCUGAAUUCAAAGAUCCCUUCGGGGUGAUUUGUUGGACGCUAGCGGCGGAUGGGUGAGUAACACGUGGGCAAUCUGCCCUAAAGACUGGGAUACCACUUGGAAACAGGUGCUAAUACCGGAUAACAACAUGAAUCGCAUGAUUCAAGUUUGAAAGGCGGCGCAAGCUGUCACUUUAGGAUGAGCCCGCGGCGCAUUAGCUAGUUGGUGGGGUAAAGGCCUACCAAGGCAAUGAUGCGUAGCCGAGUUGAGAGACUGAUCGGCCACAUUGGGACUGAGACACG
This 301-nucleotide ribosomal RNA is filed under the name Lactobacillus delbrueckii. RNAcentral's name for it is "bacterial SSU rRNA". It matches the Rfam family "Bacterial small subunit ribosomal RNA", at positions 50 to 328 of the family's 1533-position model. The record is from RNAcentral. Lineage: Bacteria; Bacillati; Bacillota; Bacilli; Lactobacillales; Lactobacillaceae.